RNAcentral lists this ribosomal RNA (253 nucleotides) under uncultured bacterium. RNAcentral's name for it is "partial 16S ribosomal RNA". It matches the Rfam family "Bacterial small subunit ribosomal RNA", at positions 524 to 776 of the family's 1533-position model. The record is from RNAcentral.
UACAGAGGUGGCAAGCGUUGUUCGGAAUUACUGGGCGUAAAGGGCGCGUAGGCGGCCUUCUAAGUCAGACGUGAAAUCCCCCGGCUUAACCUGGGAACUGCGUCUGAUACUGGGAGGCUUGAGUAUGGGAGAGGUAAGCGGAAUUCCUGGUGUAGCGGUGAAAUGCGCAGAUAUCGGGAGGAACACCGGUGGCGAAGGCGGUUCUCUGGGCCUGACCUGACGCUGAGGAGCGAAAGCGUGGGGAGCGAACAGG